RNAcentral lists this non-coding RNA (24 nucleotides) under Arabidopsis thaliana (thale cress). The record is from RNAcentral. Lineage: Eukaryota; Viridiplantae; Streptophyta; Magnoliopsida; Brassicales; Brassicaceae.
ACCUUAAUCUAGAAUAGCAUCUGC